UUUCGGCAUUCACUCAGAGUUAACUCUAGAGUUAGCAGUGGUGCUCAAAUGUAAAUUUUGAUUUUCAGUUCGUCUGUUGGUUGUGAACGUUGUUGAUUGGCAAUUUGGCAUAGACGAUUCAUUUUGAUUGGCGCAGGGUUUGCAAUUGUAACAAUAUGUGAAACGGGCCUUUUAUUCUAGUAAUGUAAUGUUAAAAUAAAAUUUUUUGUUUCUAGAUUUCAUAAAAGUCCCCAAAAAUUUAUUACUAGAUGACCCAGAGUUAACUCUGUUUUCUUGCGAGAGUAAAGAAAAAGGGUCAGUCCUAACCUUUAAUGGCCGACAAAAUUUGUGAACGGAUUGUUUGUUUUGAAAAGUGUAAAUUGAAACAUAAUAAUUUAUUUUUAUUAAAAAUUAUUUUAACUUUUUAUUUAUAAAAAACAACUUUAAUUAAAAUAAAUAAUCUAGUUUCUAAAACAAAUCAGAUUAAUUAAAGUUAGGGAAAUAAUGAAAAAUUUAAAGAUUAUAAACUUUAAAAAAAUAACAGCAAAAAUAUGUUCCAUUUUUAAAUGAAAAACAAAAAAAUACGUAUAAAUUAAAAAAAAGUAAGCAAACAAGGACAACUAACUUCAAACUCAGGGUGAUGAAAAUAGAAAAUCAAUUAUUUUAUUUAGCUUGUUCUUGCCGACACUAUGAAGGUUUCUCAAUCAACUGUCUCAAGAAUUGUUUUUCGUGUCGCCACGUUGCUUGACAGUCUCAUUAAUUUAUACAUUAAAAUACCAACAACUGGUGAUGCUCUCGUGUUCAUGGAGCGAUUGAUUGCACUCACGUUAAGUUAGUCGGCACAAGAUUUAACCAGCUUGACAAAAUGUUUAGAAAUAGAAAAGGCUGUUGUUGGACCCCGAAUGAAGUUUCUCGAUAUUGUUCCGGAAUGACCAUGUAGAGCACAUUACAGCCGGAUAAUUCAGAACUCGUUAAUUUACAUGCGAUAUAUUUAAGGACGAUUAGAUGGGAUUUAUGUAGGUGAUAAAGGAUAUCCCU
This is a long non-coding RNA of Leptopilina boulardi, 1017 nucleotides long. RefSeq lists it as uncharacterized. The transcript has 3 exons. Lineage: Eukaryota; Metazoa; Arthropoda; Insecta; Hymenoptera; Figitidae. The record is from RefSeq and is a predicted model, not a curated record.